GUCUAAAGCCAUACCACCCUCAACAUACCUGAUGUCAUCUGCUCUCAGAAGCUAAGCAGGGUCGGGCCUGGUUAGUACUUGGAUGGGAGACCACCUGGGGAUACCAGGUACUGUAGGCU
This 119-nucleotide ribosomal RNA is filed under the name Meriones unguiculatus (Mongolian gerbil). The record is from RNAcentral. Lineage: Eukaryota; Metazoa; Chordata; Mammalia; Rodentia; Muridae.